UUCAUCUGGAGAAGGGGAGCACUGCUGGGCUCCUGUGAGCAUAACCACCACACCCUUUCCUUACCCAUUUUCAGUGUCACAGGGAGUUUUUUCUAUUAGAAAACAGAAAAUGUAAAGUACACAUUAAUCAGAUUGCAAAUAAUCCUUCUAAGUGGUUACUGAUACAGAUGAAGAAACCUCAUGGUUUACUAAUCAGAAGAAAGAACCAAAUUAAUAAAUACUUAAUUACAUAGUGGCAGGGUGGAGGUGAACCAAUGAAAAGGACCUGGAGGAUUACAGGAUGAUCUUGAUAGCUGCAGCCUCUGGAGAAGGCUCUCUUCAAACAAGAGUUCAAAGGAGCUGGAGGAUCUCUUCAAACAAGACCCUGCAGAGGCUCCACUUGUUCCUCCCAGGAACUGCAUGGUAAGGUAGGCACCAGCACGCGCAUCAGUAGUGCUGUGUAGAAAAGGCGUUUGACAUGACUUCCAUUAGGCCUCAGCAGUCACCUUGGCCUUUCACAUUUCAAACUAUUUUUUGUUUCUUCAGGCUGAGCUGAGGGUCUCUUGAAAGCAGGAUUAGGCUCCAAGAAAAACGAGGAAAAACUGUUCUGUUGCUGCAGAUGUGAGAAGGGCGGGCGUGCAGCCGCUGAGGCACGGGCAGGGCCGGCACGACAUUCACCAGAAGCCUUUGCUGGGGCCGCUGCGAGCCCCGCGGCUGGGUACCUGCGCUCGGGGUGAGCAGGGCACCCGCCGGGGGCCGUGGCUCUACUGCUGCCGGCUGCGCUCCGGCGGCCGGAGCUCUGCGGAGCCGCCACGCCCGGAGCCGGGCGGGUCGGACGCUCCCGGGAGGGUCUCGGCCGCGGCCGCCGGGCCGGGGCUCCGCCCUCCCCUAAAAAGGAGGGGGAGAGCUCCCGCCGGCGCGGACCCGCCAAGGCACGGACGGGGUUCGAACCCGUGAUCUUCGGUUUACGAGACCGACGCCUUACCACUUGGCCACCGCGCCUGCGUUGAGGAGCCCUGCUGACGCCUUUCUAUCGCUGGCGCCACUCCCGCACGCCCGCCCACGGCCCGCCCUCGCGCGCCUGGGCUGCCACCUGCUGGGGGCGCGCGGCCCUGAGGCGCUGAGGGCGCGGCGGCGGCUGAGGGGGCGGAACGGGAGGGAGGGACGGACCGGGACCGCCGCUCGUUCUGGCUCUUGCUCUCCCUCCGUCUCCCUCCGUCUCCCUUUGUCUCUCGCUCUUUUUGCUGCCAGGAGCCUCCCCUCCGGCUGCGGAGGCAGCGCCCUCUGCAGCGCCCGCCCCGGGGCUGUGAGGGUGCGGUUCCCGGAGACGGCACUCGAGGGGCUGCUUCGCACCGGCCAGCACGGCUUAGAGAGGGAGAAAAAAGCGGCAUUAAAUUUUUCCUCCUCCAAGAAGAGAAGCAGGAAUCCAAAACGUUGGGAUAACUAAAUGUCCACAGCACUUGUCUUGGAAGGGGUUCAAGAAUGAUGCAGUAGAGGGCAGAAUGGCCCUGCAGUCCUUUUUCUGCACAGAAGACUGGAGACUCACAGGAAUAUCUUGGUAAAGUUGCAGACUAUCCUUUGAGGUGUGGGGAAAUCCAUGUGACUUCUUUGCCAUCAAAGAAACAUCUACUUGAGACACUACAAAUACCCUAAGAAAUAUGUCCCUGUAGCAACAUGUGUACAAUAACCAACAAGCCCAUGGGCAGGAGCAAAUGGCAUUGAAUGUGGUACAGAGUAAAGACAAAUGGCUGAUGGCCAUCUGCAGAGCAUGUUUGAAUUAACUGAGUUUUUAUUGAAAAUCAAGGUUUAGCCUGUGGAAGAAGUUCACUCAGCAUAAUCUCAAUUUUUAUCAAGCCUUGUUUUGUGUUUACAUCAAAUAGCAAUAUGAACACAGCUUGUGAAAGGUUAUGUGUUUCUAUUUUGUCACUGUAAAACAAUCAAGCCCCCAGACUGUCAGCUAGCAGCAAAACAAAUGCUUUAUCUCUGUUAUACUCCAGCUGUAAUUUCUUCAAUGCACAAUACAUGGUCAAAAAGUGCUGCACUUGUUUUGCAGUAUCUGUGUCUGGUGUGUGAUAUCAAAGGUAAGUUUGUGGCCCAUACAGCCUACAAACGUUUACAAUGGUUAAAGUUCACAGAGAAAGGGUAUUUUAUGAAAUUUACAGCGUUUAUUAGUAAUUUUAAUUUUUUUCAGUUUUACUCAAUUACUACUUACUACUUUAUGGAGUUUUUAGUAUUUGGCCAAAUAUAACAAUUUCUGAUGUCAUCAGUGUAGAACAGACUUUAAUGAGCAGAGGGUGGGUGGUUUAUUACAGGACUGCCUUCACAAGGGGAAGUGUAGCACUAAAUAUUUAAAUGAAACAGCUUCAUCUUUAAAAGAAGCUUGUGCAAAUAGCUCAUUCUCCUGAAAAAAUGCGUGUUCCAGAAGCUGAGCAGAAUGCAAAUCAAAAAUACAAAAUCUCACAACCCAAUACAUCUUGAAAACCUUGGAAGAAUUUGGGAAAGUCAUGUAUUAAAGUGCAUUACAAGAGGUCUGUAGUGAGAGGACAAAGGGGAACCAUUCAAACUGAGAGAGAGUAGGUUUGGAUUGGGUAUUAGGAGGAAGUUCUUACUGUGAGGGUGCUGAGAUGCUGGAGUGGGUCACCCAGAGAAGCUGUGGCUGCCCCAUCCCUGGCAGUGUCCAAGGCCAGAUCCAGCGGGGCUUGGAGCAACCUGGGAUAGCAGAAGGUGUCCCAGCCCAGGGCAGGGAACAAGAUGAACUUUAAGGUCCACUGCAACCCAGGCCAUUCUAUGAGUAAAUGAUGCUAUAUUAAAAAUUGCUAAAAAAAAUGGAAAUCCAAACCUAAACUUCAAGGGUUCAGGAACACUCUGUUCUUACAGAUUUUGGCUCUGAUUUUAAAGACAAACCAUGAUUCUUCUGGGGUUUGUCUAAGUGCAGAUUCAUUCUUACUCCUUUUUGUGAGAAAGGUACUCAGAACGUAAGCCCAAUGUAUCAGAUUCAUAAAAGUCAGAAUGAUGUUUUCAUUUUAAGUAGUAACCAUGGACAAAUGAACACAGUUUUCCUUUUUUAUUUGAGACACUUAGCAAAAAUGCUGAAAUAUCAAACAUUUCCUCAGUAGCUACAAUAUUGCCACUAUGUACAAAAUAUUUGAUAAAUGUAGUACACAUAUAAAAAUACAGUAUGCAUUACAUAUAUACAGUACAAUGUGCAAAACAUAUGGCAUUCAAACAUAUGGAAUUGAUUUUAGGGGUGCAAACAGCAAAUACAAAGGCAUCAUGGUUCUAGAAAGGCAAUACAUAAACUGACGCCCUGAUUGCCAUAAUUUGCAUUUAGUAAAGUAGUGCUUAAAUGAAGAGGGCCCCAGAGACAGGUGUUUAUCUUCUUCUUUUCACAAAAUGAGAUGCUAAGACAUAAUUACGACUAUGAAAAUAAGAAGAGAAACACCUACUUGGGUUAGCGUUAUUCCUACUGCAAGCAGUACUGUGAAGAAAAUCCUAUCUGGAAAAAAAGCCUGUGCUAUUAGUUACUACAAAUUUCUCAAACAACAAAAACAAAUCUGUACUGUUAAACAUCAAAAACAGCUUUGAAAAUAUCUACAUCCUUAAUUUUAAAAAAGUACGGAUAACGCUUUUGGGGACUUAAUUUCCUAUGUUUUAAAAUACAAAGUGCCUCCUUUGGCAAUAUAAAUGGCAACGCUUUGGUUCCUAUUUAAAUUUUUAUAUUAUUAUAAUUUAUUUUAGGCUGUCUUUUGAAUAUCUGAGCUGUAUAAUUUUAUAAAAAUAGUGUGAUUAUAUAGUUAUUAACCAUUCCCUGCUUUUUUUUGAGAAUCUGCUCUCAUAGCUAGAAUGGCUUUUUUGGCUAGAUUUCUACAAAUACAUUUAUGCACUUUUAACUUAAAAACACUUUCUGUUCAGUAUUGGACACUACAGAAUGAUGUAGGUGUCUCUUUUUUGCACUUUAUUCCUAGCAAACUGGUACAAAAGGAAUAUUUGAGAUUAUUUCAGGUUUUAAUGGAUGCUCUUUAUUGGCCAAGUAUAUACUAUAUGUAACUCAAUUCCACGGAUCUCACAUGAAAUACCUUCUGGGGUAUGGUCUAGAAUUCACUGAAAGGUGAUUUCACAGACCACAGUAUGAAGAGUUUCAACAGAACAUUUACUAGAGAUAAGUGGAAGAUUUUUUUCCAGUUUUAAUAGAGUUUGCUUUAAGUUUAUAAUACACUUAAGAUGCCAGCCAAGUAAAAAUUGUUUACAUCGGUGAACUUUCCUGUGUUUUGAUAACAUAAUGCCCUUCCAGUUCAAUGUAUUCUGUAAUUGCAGUUUCUCUGCCUUGAAAAUAGUUCAGCAGCUUGUGCUCAUGUUCUGAUUACAGGGCCUACACUUUUGAGGCACCUGAAUGUCUGAGAUUAUGUAACAGAAAAGUUUAAUAUUGACACUUCUGUUUGGAUCACCAUCUUCUCUGAACAUGACUCUUGUUAGUGAAUUUAGAAAUACCUGGGAAAUAAAUGUCAGUAUUAAGUAGUGAUCAUUUUUAAAAGCUGUGGCCUCAGCUUUUUAAAGUUCUGAUUCUGCAGGUCUGCAAGCCCACAUUGCUGGAUUACACUUUCAAUUUCUUUAGAGAACAACUGCCAUAUAUUAAUUUUAUUGUCAGAAAAAGUACGACAAUGCUUUUUAAUCUAUUUCUAAUGUUAAACAAAAUCUUGCCUGUAAACUUCCUUGCUGUAACCGAUGCUGAAGGGCACUGAAAGUGCGCAGCAAAUUCCAUUUCUCUACUGAACGCAGGAUGUGACUCCUCUUGAGUAACACGACCCUAGUAAAACAUUGUCUGAGCUCUCUCUGCCUAGAUGUGUAAACAAGCAACUUUGGAUUUUUAUACUGAUUAAAAGGUAUUCUUAAUUACUUUGAAGGACCCACUAACACCACAUUUGAUAGGAUGCAUUCUGUUAGUAUACUGCAGCCAUUAAAUGGCAAAUUUAGUGCCAGUGCAUUCCUUUGCAACUGUUCUCUUAAUGAGAAAGAUUCAGUUCUGUGCAGUCAAACUGCACAGUCAUGAUUAAAUUUCUAAGAUGUAUUUGUGCUACAAAAACUUUAAUGUAAAACAUGCACACACAAAAGUCUAAGCAAAACCUAUUUCUGCCAUAAACAGGCAUAUACAGCUAUGGCAAACAGAUCACAUUUCAGAACAAAGUCUAAAGCAAACCAUUUUAUAUAAGGUUUAAUACACAAUUCUGAAAUGUACAGAAAAGUAAUCACACAUUCCCUACACUAGAAUAUUUGUACUUCAGAAACUAAAAUGAUCCCUUAAUUUUAAUUUUUUUUCAAAUAGACGUUCAGAGCAGAAAGCUAUACCGUACUGAUAACAAGACAUCUCAACUGUUUGGGUUUAUUUCUGCACAAAGAUUCCUAUGGAUUAAUUAACAUUCUACACUGCCAACAAGGGUAACUUUGUAGCAGGAUGACUUUGCCAGUUUCAAGCUGUAUUUACAUGCACAUCAAAAAUGACAGUACAGUUGCUCUAAGUUAAUUUGUCCUCUAAAAAUUAAUUUACUUGCCUCUCAUUUAAGCAGGAGGCAGGGUCAAAAAGGGAUAACUCUAACCACACAUAUAUUGUAUGAUGUCUGGUGUAUCACACAAAAUAAACUGACAGUACUGCAGAACACUAGAUUUCAUUCAGAGUUGUUCCUAUCAGACCAAGAAUCCUUAAUUCUUAUUCUCGUAACAGCCGAGGGCACUUUGUAUCUCAGAGUAUCAGCUCCCAAGAGAGGAUGAUGAACAGGAAUGCAAAAAGUUGAAUGUUAAGUGUUCACUGUUACUGAAAAGUCCUAUACCAUCAAAGCUUAAGGCAGACAGUCCACGUGUAAUAUUGUACUCAAGUACUGUAGGCACAGCAAGAAGGAAUAAGGAAUUAUGUCUUUCAACUGUGUGUAGUGAAAAAUCUCCAAAGAUUGUUUUCUUCUACUUAGUUUCAUAUUACAGUAAUUCUUGGCCAGUAAAACCAGUGAAGAUAUACAAUGAUUUAAAGUGCUGUAAUUGAUAUGAUGCAAACAUAUGGUAUCAGUUCACACCCUGAAUCAAUGAUGUAAUCCAUUAUUUUAUCUGAAGCCAAUGGAAUUCUGUCGUAUCAGUAAACCAGACUGCAUUAUA
Molecule: long non-coding RNA, 6117 nt
Organism: Motacilla alba alba
Lineage: Eukaryota; Metazoa; Chordata; Aves; Passeriformes; Motacillidae
Exons: 3
Source: RefSeq, a predicted model, not a curated record